UAGGUUGUAUAACUUCUUCCUUUGGAUUCUUUUUUUUUUUAAUCAAAUAGAUUUUCACUGAUCAGGAAUGUUCUGUGUAGUCCUGCCUAAAGUGGGAGAGAUGGACUCUUCAAGUCCUAAAAUUCUAUGAUUAAUCAAGGAGACAUAAUUAUAUACAUCUAGUCAUUCAAAUUUUAUAAACUGAUUUUAAUGGUUCUUUGCACAUAAACAUGAGAUGAGUGACAUUGUAAAAGUGUAAUUUUGGUAGAAGAUUAUAGUGUGAACUGAAAAGGAAAUGUAUAAGUAUCAUUAAGCCAUUUCGGAUCACUCUUUGGACUAAAGAUUAUCAGCUUUUAAACCAGUCAUUUUAGAAAUUCAGCCUUAAAAAUAACUGUCUACACCAGGAAUUUAUAAUACAGCACAAUGAAUGGAAAUGUUUACUUUUUUCUAAAACAAAUUCACAUUUUCUGUAGACAACAUUCAUUUAGUAAGAUCUUUAAAGGCUUUAACAGAUAACAGUCAACAGCAUAAGAAGGAAUGCAUAAUAAAUGGUAAUAAUACACAAAGACUACAACAGGCUAACACCUGGUACAAUUUCCAUCCCCAAACAACCACUAUAUAAAGAAACAUUACAGCUAAAAGCACUAGAUUAAAAGUUCUCAAGUAAACAGAAGCUUGUUAGAUUUUUCUUUGAAAAUAAUAUCUAAGAGCUCCUAGCACAAUGGCCUUGCACAUAGUAGGCACUCAAUAAACAUUUGUUGAACUGAGAAGAGUCCUUUUAAAAGUUAACUUGAAAACAGAAACCUUCAUUCAAGCGCUAAAACACAUCUAGUUACUUUGAACAUGUGCUUAACAAAAACCAGGAAACAAAAUUUGAACCAAAUACAACAUGCUUACACUAUCUAUGAUCAGUUCCUGGUGUGUUUAUGAACAUAAUUCUGAAGGACCUAAUGUUGUAAAGUAUUAAUACAUGGGAAAACUUUCAUAAAAAGCCAAAACACUACUUAAACCCAAGUAUCUGGAAUCCACAAAGUAAAAGCUAAUCUUUCUAAAUUAAAACACACUGUAUAGCAAGAGCAGAUCAUUCAAAUUUAGCAAAACUAAAAAGAAAAACAAAGUUUCUAAGUGACUUUGAAAGCAUGCUAACUAAAACACUUUCAUCAAGCCAACACAAAUUUUACAGACAGAAUUUCAUUUUUUGCUAUGUAAGAAAUGUGCUGUCCUUUGUAUUCAAAAAUAAGUGACCAACAUCAAAGUAAAUAGGUAUUUAGGUUUCUCAGGGAAUAACUCUGAAAGCUUGAAAAUCAACAGUAAAAAAAACUGUUAGAAUAACUCCAAAUUUGCCUUAAAACUUAAACUUUCCUUUAUCUAAUUUGCAAAAGGGUCUUUUAAGCGAAAUCAGAGACUUGCAUAAAUUGAGCUUGAUAUGCUCUUAUUUAUUCACAAAGGGAAAGCGAGGAGGGGAAGGCAGUGGAAUACUCAGAGCCAGCCAAUUUCUACAACUUGCAAUUAUGUUACAGCGAUUUUCAAAACUGAUAGAAUUUCUCAGGACCUCCUUAGUCAACAUAAAACCAAAGUCUAAUUUUCCAUGUUUUUCCUCAUACUCCAUUCCAUUUUAAAACAUUUUGAGAUAAAUCAGUGUUCAAGAGUCUACCCAAGUUAAAGACAAGGAAUCAGUUCCCUAUUUAAAUCUCUUAAUACAGAUUAACUCUCUUCCUGGGCUGUUCACAUUUUUCUAAACUGAUUUCUCAGUACUCUUCAGCUGCCUAAAUAACCAAGUAGCAACUCCAUGAAUUAACUGAAACAGAAUUUCUCACCAUUCCCUACCCCCACAUUACCACACUCUCAAUUGAAGACAAAAGUGUAUGACAAUUUUGCCCCGAGUACUCGCCUCAAGUCGUUCUGGUACAAUACAGCAAAUACAACAUUAACACUAUCACACAAAACAGUUAUAUCCAUACAGUAGAUAAAAACAUUUAUUAAGUACUAUGUUUUCCCAUUACUACCAAAGAAGUUAAAUGCAUAGCUUUUCAUCACUAUCCUUGGGGCACUAUAUCAUUCAUACUGUGUAAGAACGAAAUUAAAUCAAAUUUGGCCACAACUUUUCAAUAGUGCUCAUAAAACCAAAAGGAUUAAAGGAGCUGAAUGGUGGGAGAGGAUUAAAGACUCCUUGGGGGAGAAAAAAAAGGGGGGGUGGAGGCAUUAUAGCCUUUCUGGGGACAAAGGAACUCAAGUUUCAUCCUCCCCUAUUGCUCCCCUCUCACCCAAGAAUUCUGUAGACCCAUUCCCUGCCCCCACCUCCUAUCUUUAGUUCUUACCCUUGCUUCUAAAUUCUCUUUCCCCUUUCACUCACCAUGGUUCCUCUUCUGCACCAGCAGCUCCCUAUCCCAGUCCAUUUCCCUCCAAUUACCACUGAAGUUUUUGCACCUUGAGCCCUCCAGAGCUUCUGGAUCAAUUCUCCACAUAUGGCAUUUGAUCCUCACCCUUGUGCCUUUUCUCCCAGGAGACAGCUGGAACCUGGAACUCCUCAGUUUUCUGCCGUCAUCAAGAGACAGGCCCAUUUUCCUCGUCUUCGAUUCACCUGCCAUACUUGUGGAGCAGUAACCUGGAUUUAGAGUCAGAGGCCAUGGGUUUAACUCUGCAACCUCCAAACUGUGUGACCUAGGGCAAGUCAUCGAUCUCUGAGCCUCACCUUCCUCAUGGGUAAUAGGGAGCCACUAAAGUUUAUCAAAGUACAAAGGUGACAUGUUCAGACCUGCACUUCAAGGAAAUAAUUUCAGAAGCUGAAUGGAGACUGAGUUGGCUAUGGCAAUAUUCCAGGGAACCUGGACUAAACAGAUUCCCUCUUCUCUCGGACAAAAGGUGGGAGAGUACAGGUUCUGAAUGCUAUAUUCUACGUAAGAAGUUGUUGCUGAAGAAUUGGAAAUAGAGGGGAUGUCCAUCAAUUGGGGAAUGGCUGAACAAGUUGUGGUAUAUGAAUGUA
This is a long non-coding RNA of Phascolarctos cinereus (koala), 2962 nucleotides long. RefSeq lists it as uncharacterized. NCBI's taxonomy places the organism in Eukaryota, Metazoa, Chordata, Mammalia, Diprotodontia, Phascolarctidae. The record is from RefSeq and is a predicted model, not a curated record.